UUGCUGUGAUGAUUAUUUUCCUUCCAUUCGCAGUUUCCACCAGAGGUCACAUGACCAAAGAUGGCCAAAAAUCUUCCUUGGAUGUCUGAGCGA
Small nucleolar RNA from Syngnathoides biaculeatus (alligator pipefish), 93 nucleotides. RefSeq annotates it as small nucleolar RNA SNORD14. The record is from RefSeq and is a predicted model, not a curated record. The transcript has a single exon. Lineage: Eukaryota; Metazoa; Chordata; Actinopteri; Syngnathiformes; Syngnathidae.